Molecule: ribosomal RNA, 490 nt
Filed under: uncultured bacterium
Lineage: Bacteria
Description: partial 16S ribosomal RNA
Rfam family: Bacterial small subunit ribosomal RNA
Source: RNAcentral
AUUGAACGCUGGCGGCAGGCCUAACACAUGCAAGUCGAACGGUAACAGGAAGCAGCUUGCUGCUUUGCUGACGAGUGGCGGACGGGUGGGUAAUGAAUGGGCAACUGCCUGAUGGAGGGGGAUAACUACUGGACACGGUUGCUAAUACCGCAUAACGUCGCAAGACCAAAGAGGGGGGCCUUCGGGCCUCUUGCCAUCGGAUGUGCCCAGGUGGGAUUAGCUUGUUGGUGGGGUAAAGGCUCACCAAGGCGACGAUCCGUAACUGGUCUGAGAGGAUGAACAGCCACACUGGAACUGAGACACGGUCCAGACUCCUACGGGAGGCAGCAGUGGGGAAUAUUGGACAAUGGGCGAAAGCCUGAUCCAGCCAUGCCGCGUGUAUGAAGAAGGCCUUCGGAUUGUAAAGUACUUUCAGCGGGGAGGAAGGGAAGAAAGUUAAUACCUUGAUGUAUUGACGUUACCCGCAGAAGAAGCACCGGCUAACUCCGUG